UAAAGUCUACAGGACAACUGAUCUAGUACAAUUAUAUAGACAAGAUGAUACCAUGUAUUCAUUUAAACAUUUGUUUUCUUUACUUAAGUGGUGAUAUCUGUAUUGGUGGCAUCAUUUUUCCCCUUAUAGACUCUAUCUGUCAUAAUCCUGUUUCAUUGCUUUACUUAGAAGCAAUUAGUUUCAUGUUAUAUAUCUUUAAAAUAUUCCCAAUUAGCCUCAUGUUACAGGCAAACUGCCAGGCAUAAGGCAAAACAAAACUAGAAAUGCUGUGUGAUCUUUCUGUUUUGAGAUGUUCACCAAUUGACCUUCUAUUUCAAAUAUUUGUGUUCGUGUGUGUGGUGUGUGUGUGUGUAUGUACCUUUUUAGAUUCAUUUGACUUAAUGUGAGGCUUGUUAGUGUCUUGUUACGCUUGUUGGAACUAAAGUCAAACCACUUUAAUUCUUAUGGAAACUAGAGGGAACGAGUAAAUAGAAUCUUGACGCUUGUGUCAUCUUGACCUGGUGCAACACAGGGAGCUCAAGAGCCAGGAAGAUGGACUGUAUAUUGUAGACAUAAGGUCAAGUGUCUGUCCUCCAAAGCUUCCUGUCUAUUCACUAUUCUGGGACAUUUCUAGACUAUGCAAUAUUGUCAAAAUCCUUGCCUAUUGGUAUUUACAUCCUUAAAUGACGUUAAGAGUUAAGAAAGGAAGGAAGGAAAGAAGAAGGAAGAAAGGAAAGAAGACAGAAGGAAGAAAGGAAGGAAGGGGCCAGUUAGUAAAUAAUUACUACACAACUCUGGAAAGGAGCCAUGUUAUUGGAUUAGUGAACAGUAGUGGACAGUAUGUGAUAUCAUGGUUAAGGGAUGGAUCCUCCAAAAGUAAAAGAGCCUGUGUGGGACAAAAACCUAAAAAUGACCCUGAAGGCAGUUCUACUGUCUCAAAAAACGAAGACUUUCAGGUCAUUCUUCAACAUUCACUGAAGACAUCAGCAUCAGCACCACUUCAGUAAGCCCUGCUGGAACCCCGAGGGGCUCCAACAUCCAUGUGUAACAACGGUAGAGGAAAAUGAUGGACAGCACAGCUUCUGAACCGGACACACUUCAGUUCUCAAGAAGUCGGAUCUGAGAGCAUGCUUCCACCGCUGGAGCAUGCAUUCUGCUGGAAGAGGGGAAGAAGAGAUGAAUGAGGAGGAUAGGAUAUUGAUUUUAUGGUAUAAAAAAGAAGAUCUGAAGAAUUGGAUUUGCCAGAUCCUGGCUUAUGCAAAUGAAACUGGCAUUGAACAGAAGGAAGAGCUAUCUGGCCAAACACUCAAACUCCAGAAUUAAAGACUUGUUCAUCUGGAGGAAUGUCAUGCAUUCAACCUUUACCACUGAUGCUUGGGUAGUUCACAAUGUUUUACAAACUCUCAUCAACACAAGGAUUAGUGGUAUGAGCAUUCAAGGGUCAAGGCCAAAUUAGCAGCUUUGUGCUUUCCAUUUUGAGGUUGAAUUCAUACACAGCUGAUAACAUUCAAAUCUCAUCUCAAGUGAUGAGAGCAGAGAAAAUGAAUUGUUGUUGCUUUAAGCAGGACACUGUCUCAUUUCGUGAAUGCAAAUGUGUCGCUCUCUGGUGCAGCUCAAGAUUCUGCUUAUUAUAAACCUAAAACAGUCUGCCAUGCUUUUUGGUGUUUGCAUUGACACAUACAAUAUCAGAGUGCACUAGGAGGAGACAUUGUAUUUUGUUUCAACUAAUUUAUUUCGUGGACACACGUAAAACACCAUUCGUACAACGGGAAUGUCAAAAGCUUCAGAUGGCAAUUUCUAGUAAGGAAUGGUCAUGAAUAAAAUCAAAG
This 1808-nucleotide long non-coding RNA is filed under the name Equus asinus (donkey). Its description in RNAcentral is "lncRNA (ENSEASG00005034392.1)". The record is from RNAcentral. Lineage: Eukaryota; Metazoa; Chordata; Mammalia; Perissodactyla; Equidae.